RNAcentral lists this ribosomal RNA (494 nucleotides) under uncultured bacterium. RNAcentral describes it as "partial 16S ribosomal RNA". It matches the Rfam family "Bacterial small subunit ribosomal RNA", at positions 28 to 523 of the family's 1533-position model. The record is from RNAcentral.
GACGAACGCUGGCGGCGUGCUUAACACAUGCAAGUCGAGCGGUAAGGCUCCUUCGGGGGUACACGAGCGGCGAACGGGUGAGUAACACGUGAGUGAUCUGCCCUUCACUUCGGGAUAAGCUGCGGAAACGGGGUCUAAUACCGGAUAGGACGCAUCUCUGCAUGGGGGUGUGUGGAAAGUUUUUUCGGUGGAGGAUGUGCUCGCGGCCUAUCAGCUUGUUGGUGGGGUAAUGGCCUACCAAGGCUUUGACGGGUAGCCGGCCUGAGAGGGUGACCGGCCACACUGGGACUGAGACACGGCCCAGACUCCUACGGGAGGCAGCAGUGGGGAAUAUUGGACAAUGGGCGGAAGCCUGAUCCAGCAACGCCGCGUGAGGGAUGACGGCCUUCGGGUUGUAAACCUCUUUCAUCAUCGACGAAGGCCUCGCUUUGUGGUGGGGUUGACGGUAGGUGGAGAAGAAGCACCGGCCAACUACGUGCCAGCAGCCGCAGUAA